Molecule: long non-coding RNA, 1384 nt
Organism: Eriocheir sinensis (Chinese mitten crab)
Lineage: Eukaryota; Metazoa; Arthropoda; Malacostraca; Decapoda; Varunidae
Exons: 3
Source: RefSeq, a predicted model, not a curated record
UCUUUAUUAUUUACAAAUACAUCAAUAAUAAGUUUUCGCGGAAAACAUCACUUUGGGGGAAGAAAAAUGGGUGAGUAGGAGUGUGUGUGUUCGUUCUUCUGUACUGUUGUGUGUGUUGAUCUGUUUAUUUAAGAUUGUGUUGUUUUGGUGUUGCAUUUUGUGUUGUGCUGUGAGUCUUGAUAUGUUUUUUUUCUUCUUGUUUUAGUAUAGUGCUGUGUGUUGUUUUGUGUUGAGUCGAUAUAUUUGUUUUUCGACUGUGUUGGUUUGGUGUUGUUUUGGUUCUGUGCUGUGUUGUCUUGUAUUGCUUUGGUAUGUGUUGUGUCGCACUGUUAAAGAAAAUCAAGGUGAGUUGUUUUGGUGCUGUGCUGUGUUGUCUUGUAUUGUUUUGGUAUGUGUUGUGUUGCACUGUUAAAGAAAAUCAAGGUGAGUUGUUUUGGUGCUGUGCUGUGCUGUGUUGUCUUGUAUUGUUUUGGUAUGUGUUGUGUUGCACUGUUAAAGAAAAUCAAGGUGAGUUGUUUUGGUGCUGUGCUGUGUUGUCUUGUAUUGCUUUGGUAUGUGUUGUGUUGCACUGUUAAAGAAAAUCAAGGUGAGUUGUUUUGGUACUAUGCUGUGUUGUCUUGUAUUGUUUUGGUAUGUGUUGUGUUGCACUGUUAAAGAAAAUCAAGGUGAGUUGUUUUGGUGCUGUGCUGUGUUGUCUUGUAUUAUAUUGUUAAGAAAAAUCACGGUAAGUUGUUUUUAUGUUGUCUUGUGUGUCUUGAUCUGAAUUGUUUUGCGUUGUCUUGUGUUGUGUUGCAUUGUUAAGGAAAGUCAAGGCGAGUUGUUUUGGUGUUGUUUCUUGUUUUGCGUUGUCUUGUGUUGUGUUGCAUUGUUAAGGAAAGUCAAGGCGAGUUGUUUUGGUGUUGUUUCUUGUUUUGCGUUGUCUUGUGUUGUUGUGUUGCAUUGUUAAGGAAAAUCAAGGCGAGUUGUUUUGGUAUUGUAUCUUGUUUUACGUUGUCUUGUGUUGUUGUGUUGCAUUGUUAAGGAAAAUCAAGGCGAGUUAAGUGUCCAUGUCUCACGCAACCUGAGACACACAACGAAUCGCUCAGGACGAGGCAUAUGCAUUUCAAUCCUAAGUUGAGCCUCACACAAGGGGAUCCAAUACUACUCAGAGGGGCGUAAAGCUACUAAAAGGGAUUCUAUUACUUUUUUUCUCUUAAUUUACUUCCACACCAGAUAUUCAGUUUAUUUUUUGAAGGGUUCGUGGUAAGUUUUAUUUUUCUUACUUUUUUCUCUGUAAUAUUUUCCUUCCCUUUAUCACGUUCCUUUUCUUGUCUUUCAAAGUUUCCACCUUGAACUGUUUACUCAUUCCUGCACAUUUUUGCCUUUUCAGAUUUUGACUUAUUUU